UCCCUCACACGAUGGCACCUGGAGAGUUUCCAGUACUCAACCAGUCUCGACUACGGGAGAGAGAGUCAAGCAGAGGCGUACCUGUUCCAUUCCUAGCUUGGGCAGUGGCUAGCGAGUGGAAGGCAAUCUGCUGCAAGU
Molecule: small nucleolar RNA, 138 nt
Organism: Tachyglossus aculeatus (Australian echidna)
Lineage: Eukaryota; Metazoa; Chordata; Mammalia; Monotremata; Tachyglossidae
Source: RefSeq, a predicted model, not a curated record